This 460-nucleotide ribosomal RNA is filed under the name uncultured bacterium. RNAcentral's name for it is "partial 16S ribosomal RNA". It matches the Rfam family "Bacterial small subunit ribosomal RNA", at positions 338 to 795 of the family's 1533-position model. The record is from RNAcentral.
CCUACGGGUGGCAGCAGUGAGGAAUAUUGGUCAAUGGACGCAAGUCUGAACCAACCAUGCCGCGUGCAGGAAGACGGCUCUAUGAGUUGUAAACUGCUUUUGUACGAGGGUAAACGCAGAUACGCGUAUCUGUCUGCAAGUAUCGUACGAAUAAGGAUCGGCUAACUCCGUGCCAGCAGCCGCGGUAAUACGGAGGAUUCAAGCGUUAUCCGGAUUUAUUGGGUUUAAAGGGUGCGUAGGCGGUCGGAUAAGUUAGAGGUGAAAUCCCGAGGCUCAACUUCGGAAUUGCCUCUGAUACUGUUCGGCUAGAGAGUAGUUGCGGUAGGCGGAAUGUAUGGGGUAGCGGUGAAAUGCUUAGAGAUCAGACAGAACACCGAUUGCGAAGGCAGCUUACCAAGCUACUUCUGACGUUGAGGCACGAAAGCGUGGGGAGCAAACAGGAUUAGAUACCCGGGUAGUC